CGCAAGCCUGACGGAGCAACGCCGCGUGUGGGAAGAAGGCUCUUGGGCUGUCAACCACUUUUCUCAGGGAAGAAGCACUGACGGUACCUGAGGAAUCAGCCUCGGCUAACUCCGUGCCAGCAGCCGCGGUAAUACGGAGGAGGCGAGCGUUAUCCGGAAUUAUUGGGCGUAAAGCGUCCGCAGGGGGCACAUCAAGUCUGCUGUUAAAGGCUGGAGCUUAACUCCGGUAGAGCAGUGGAAACUGGUGUGCUAGAGGGCGACAGGGGUAGAGGGAAUUCCCAGUGUAGCGGUGAAAUGCGUAGAGAUUGGGAAGAACACCGGUGGCGAAAGCGCUCUACUGGGUCGCACCUGACCCUCAGGGACGAAAGCUAAGGUAGCG
RNAcentral lists this ribosomal RNA (379 nucleotides) under uncultured cyanobacterium. Its description in RNAcentral is "bacterial SSU rRNA". It matches the Rfam family "Bacterial small subunit ribosomal RNA", at positions 376 to 770 of the family's 1533-position model. Lineage: Bacteria; Bacillati; Cyanobacteriota. The record is from RNAcentral.